GUGUCAGCCGCCGCGGUAAUACGAAGGGGGCUAGCGUUGCUCGGAAUCACUGGGCGUAAAGCGCACGUAGGCGGACUCUUAAGUCAGGGGUGAAAUCCUGGAGCUCAACUCCAGAACUGCCUUUGAUACUGGGAGUCUUGAGUCCGGAAGAGGUAAGUGGAACUGCGAGUGUAGAGGUGAAAUUCGUAGAUAUUCGCAAGAACACCAGUGGCGAAGGCGGCUUACUGGUCCGGAACUGACGCUGAGGUGCGAAAGCGUGGGGAGCAAACAGGAUUAGAUACCCUAGUAGUCC
This 292-nucleotide ribosomal RNA is filed under the name uncultured bacterium. RNAcentral's name for it is "partial 16S ribosomal RNA". It matches the Rfam family "Bacterial small subunit ribosomal RNA", at positions 505 to 796 of the family's 1533-position model. The record is from RNAcentral.